CAGCAUGGGGAAUAUUGCACAAUGGGGAAACCCUGAUGCAGCCAUGCCGCGUGUGUGAAGAAGGCCUUCGGGUUGUAAAGCACUUUCAGUAGGGAGGAAGGUAGUGUAGUUAACACCUGCAUUAUUUGACGUUACCUACAGAAGAAGCACCGGCUAACUCCGUGCCAGCAGCCGCGGUAAUACGGAGGGUGCGAGCGUUAAUCGGAAUUACUGGGCGUAAAGCGCAUGCAGGCGGCCUGUUAAGUCAGAUGUGAAAGCCCGGGGCUUAACCUCGGAAUUGCAUUUGAAACUGGCAGGCUAGAGUCUUGUAGAGGGGGGUAGGAAUUUCAGGUGUAGCGGUGAAAUGCGUAGAGAUCUGAAGGAAUACCAGUGGCGAAGGCGGCCCCCUGGACAAAGACUGACGCUCAGAUGCGAAAGCGUGGGGAGCAAACAGGAUUAGAUACCCUGGUAG
RNAcentral lists this ribosomal RNA (451 nucleotides) under uncultured bacterium. RNAcentral's name for it is "bacterial SSU rRNA". It matches the Rfam family "Bacterial small subunit ribosomal RNA", at positions 349 to 793 of the family's 1533-position model. The record is from RNAcentral.